UAGGGAAUAUUGCGCAAUGGUCGAAAGACUGACGCAGCGACGCCGCGUGUGGGAGGAAGCCUUUCGGGGUGUAAACCACUGUCAGAUGGGAAGAAACCCGCACUUCCAAACAGGAUGUGCGCAUGACGGUACCAUCAGAGGAAGCGCCGGCUAACUCCGUGCCAGCAGCCGCGGUAAGACGGAGGGCGCAAGCGUUGUUCGGAAUUACUGGGCGUAAAGCGCGGGCAGGUGGUCCGUUAAGUCUUUUGUGAAACUCCGGGGCUCAACUCCGGACAUGCAGGAGAUACUGGCGGACUAGAGACCGGUAGAGGCUAGCGGAAUUCCUGGUGUAGCGGUGGAAUGUGUAGAUAUCAGGAAGAACACCGGUGGCGAAGGCGGCUGGCUGGGCCGUGUCUGACACUCAUCCGCGAAAGCGUGGGGAGCAAACAGG
RNAcentral lists this ribosomal RNA (430 nucleotides) under uncultured Gemmatimonadota bacterium. RNAcentral's name for it is "bacterial SSU rRNA". It matches the Rfam family "Bacterial small subunit ribosomal RNA", at positions 355 to 776 of the family's 1533-position model. The record is from RNAcentral. Lineage: Bacteria; Pseudomonadati; Gemmatimonadota.